UGGGGAAUAUUGCACAAUGGGCGCAAGCCUGAUGCAGCCAUGCCGCGUGUAUGAAGAAGGCCUUCGGGUUGUAAAGUACUUUCAGUCGGGAGGAAGGUGUCAAGGUUAAUAACCUUGGCAAUUGACGUUACCGACAGAAGAAGCACCGGCUAACUCCGUGCCAGCAGCCGCGGUAAUACGGAGGGUGCAAGCGUUAAUCGGAAUUACUGGGCGUAAAGCGCACGCAGGCGGUUGAUUGAGUCAGAUGUGAAAUCCCCGGGCUUAACCCGGGAAUUGCAUCUGAUACUGGUCAGCUAGAGUCUUGUAGAGGGGGGUAGAAUUCCAUGUGUAGCGGUGAAAUGCGUAGAGAUGUGGAGGAAUACCUGUGGCGAAGGCGGCCCCCUGGACAAAGACUGACGCUCAGGUGCGAAAGCGUGGGGAGCAAACAGG
Molecule: ribosomal RNA, 429 nt
Filed under: Chloroflexota bacterium
Lineage: Bacteria; Bacillati; Chloroflexota
Description: Chloroflexi bacterium partial 16S ribosomal RNA
Rfam family: Bacterial small subunit ribosomal RNA
Source: RNAcentral